RNAcentral lists this transfer RNA (69 nucleotides) under Anolis aequatorialis. RNAcentral describes it as "tRNA-Tyr". The record is from RNAcentral. Lineage: Eukaryota; Metazoa; Chordata; Lepidosauria; Squamata; Anolidae.
GAUAAAGAGAGGAAUUAAACCCCUUUAAAUAGGACUACAGCCCACCGCCUACCAUUCGGCCACUUUACC